GGCGGGCCUAACACAUGCAAGUCGAACGAGAAUGUAGGCUUCGGUCUACUAGUAAAGUGGCGGACGGGUGCGUAACACGUGGGUAAUCUACCUUCCGGCGGGGGACAACAGUCCGAAAGGAUUGCUAAUACCGCAUACGUCAGCGAGGCCUACGGGCCUUGUUGGGAAAGAUGGCCUCUCCUUGGAAGCUGUCUCCGGAAGAUGAGCCCGCGGCCCAUCAGCUAGUUGGUGAGGUAAUGGCUCACCAAGGCUUAGACGGGUAGCUGGUCUGAGAGGAUGAUCAGCCACACUGGGACUGCGACACGGCCCAGACUCCUACGGGAGGCAGCAGUGGGGAAUAUUGGGCAAUGGGCGAAAGCCUGACCCAGCCACGCCGCGUGAGUGAUGAAGGCCUUCGGGUCGUAAAGCUCUGUGGGGAGGGACGAAUAAGCUCGGUGCUAACAUCACCGGGCCCUGACGGUACCUCCUUAGCAAGCACCGGCUAACCCUGUGCCAGCAGCCGCGGUAAUACAGGGGGUGCAAACGUUGCUCGGAAUUAUUGGGCGUAAAGCGCAC
This 555-nucleotide ribosomal RNA is filed under the name uncultured bacterium. RNAcentral describes it as "bacterial SSU rRNA". It matches the Rfam family "Bacterial small subunit ribosomal RNA", at positions 41 to 570 of the family's 1533-position model. The record is from RNAcentral.